RNAcentral lists this ribosomal RNA (253 nucleotides) under uncultured bacterium. Its description in RNAcentral is "partial 16S ribosomal RNA". It matches the Rfam family "Bacterial small subunit ribosomal RNA", at positions 524 to 776 of the family's 1533-position model. The record is from RNAcentral.
UACAGAGGGUGCGAGCGUUAAUCGGAAUUACUGGGCGUAAAGCGUGCGUAGGCGGAUACUUAAGUCGAAUGUGAAAUCCCCGGGCUUAACCUGGGAACUGCAUCUGAUACUGGGUAUCUGGAGUAUGGUAGAGGAAAGUGGAAUUCCCGGUGUAGCGGUGAAAUGCGUAGAUAUCGGGAGGAACAUCAGUGGCGAAGGCGACUUUCUGGACCAAUACUGACGCUGAGGUACGAAAGCGUGGGGAGCAAACAGG